AAAGGACGCGUAGGCGGAUUAUCAAGUCUCUUGUGAAAUCUAACGGCUUANCCGUUAAACUGCUUGGGAAACUGAUAAUCUAGAGUAAGGGAGAGGCAGAUGGAAUUCUUGGUGUAGGGGUAAAAUCCGUAGAUAUCAAGAAGAAUACCUAUUGCGAAGGCGAUCUGCUGGAACUUAACUGACGCUAAUGCGUGAAAGCGUGGGGAGCAAACAGGAUUAGAUACCCUGGUAGUNCACGCCCUAAACGAUGUAUACCGGUUGUUGCUGUGCUAGUCACGGCAGUAAUCCACCUAACGGAUUAAGUAUACCGCCUGGGGAGUACGGUCGCAAGAUUAAAACUCAAAGGAAUAGACGGGGACCCGCACAUGCGGUGGAGCAUGUGGUUUAAUUCGAAGAUACGCGAAGAACCUUACCCGGACUUGAUAUCUAACAAAUCAUCCAGAGAUGGAAGAGUGUCUGCUUGCAGAAAUGUUAAGACAGGUGCUGCACGGCUGUCGUCAGCUCGUGUCGUGAGAUGUUGGGUUAAGUCCCGCAACGAGCGCAACCCACGUCAUUAGUUGCUAACGGUUCGACCGAGCACUCUAAUGAGACUGCCUUCGUAAGGAGGAGGAAGGUGUGGACGACGUCAAGUCAUCAUGGCCCUUAUGUCCGGGGCGACACACGUGCUACAAUGGCAUAUACAAUAAGACGCAAUAUCGCGAGAUGGAGCAAAUCUAAAAAAUAUGUCCCAGUUCGGAUUGGAGUCUGCAACUCGACUCCAUGAAGCCGGAAUCGCUAGUAAUCGUAGAUCAGCCAUGCUACGGUGAAUACGUUCCCGGGUCUUGUACUCACCGCCCGUCACACCAUGGGAGUUGAUUUCACUCGAAGCGGGAAUGCGAAAUUCGCUACCCUCCACAGNG
RNAcentral lists this ribosomal RNA (899 nucleotides) under uncultured bacterium. RNAcentral describes it as "bacterial SSU rRNA". It matches the Rfam family "Bacterial small subunit ribosomal RNA", at positions 562 to 1464 of the family's 1533-position model. The record is from RNAcentral.